Molecule: transfer RNA, 77 nt
Filed under: Limibacillus halophilus
Lineage: Bacteria; Pseudomonadati; Pseudomonadota; Alphaproteobacteria; Rhodospirillales; Rhodovibrionaceae
Also listed under: 8 other names
Description: tRNA-Arg
Rfam family: tRNA
About the family: Transfer RNA (tRNA) molecules are approximately 80 nucleotides in length. Their secondary structure includes four short double-helical elements and three loops (D, anti-codon, and T loops).
Source: RNAcentral
GCGCCCGUAGCUCAAUUGGAUAGAGCGUCUGACUACGGAUCAGAAGGUUGGGAGUUCGAGUCUUCCCGGGCGCGCCA